This 554-nucleotide ribosomal RNA is filed under the name Escherichia coli. RNAcentral's name for it is "partial 23S ribosomal RNA". It matches the Rfam family "Bacterial large subunit ribosomal RNA", at positions 165 to 760 of the family's 2925-position model. Lineage: Bacteria; Pseudomonadati; Pseudomonadota; Gammaproteobacteria; Enterobacterales; Enterobacteriaceae. The record is from RNAcentral.
CAUAGGUUAAUGAGGCGAACCGGGGGAACUGAAACAUCUAAGUACCCCGAGGAAAAGAAAUCAACCGAGAUUCCCCCAGUAGCGGCGAGCGAACGGGGAGCAGCCCAGAGCCUGAAUCAGUGUGUGUGUUAGUGGAAGCGUCUGGAAAGGCGCGCGAUACAGGGUGACAGCCCCGUACACAAAAAUGCACAUGCUGUGAGCUCGAUGAGUAGGGCGGGACACGUGGUAUCCUGUCUGAAUAUGGGGGGACCAUCCUCCAAGGCUAAAUACUCCUGACUGACCGAUAGUGAACCAGUACCGUGAGGGAAAGGCGAAAAGAACCCCGGCGAGGGGAGUGAAAAAGAACCUGAAACCGUGUACGUACAAGCAGUGGGAGCACGCUUAGGCGUGUGACUGCGUACCUUUUGUAUAAUGGGUCAGCGACUUAUAUUCUGUAGCAAGGUUAACCGAAUAGGGGAGCCGAAGGGAAACCGAGUCUUAACUGGGCGUUAAGUUGCAGGGUAUAGACCCGAAACCCGGUGAUCUAGCCAUGGGCAGGUUGAAGGUUGGGUAAC